GACGAACGCUGGCGGCGUGCCUAAUACAUGCAAGUCGAGCGAAGUUUUUCUGGUGCUUGCACCGGAAAAACUUAGCGGCGAACGGGUGAGUAACACGUAAAGAACCUGCCUCAUAGACUGGGACAACUAUUGGAAACGAUAGCUAAUACCGGAUAACAGCAUUAACUGCAUGGUUGAUGUUUAAAAGUUGGUUUUGCUAACACUAUGAGAUGGCUCUGCGGUGCAUAAGCUAGUUGGUGGGGUAAAGGCCUACCAAGGCGACGAUGCAUAGCCGACCUGAGAGGGUGAUCGGCCACACUGGGACUGAGACACGGCCCAGACUCCUACGGGAGGCAGCAGUAGGGAAUCUUCCGCAAUGGGCGAAAGCCUGACGGAGCAACGCCGCGUGAGUGAAGAAGGAUU
RNAcentral lists this ribosomal RNA (402 nucleotides) under Gemella haemolysans. Its description in RNAcentral is "bacterial SSU rRNA". It matches the Rfam family "Bacterial small subunit ribosomal RNA", at positions 28 to 417 of the family's 1533-position model. Lineage: Bacteria; Bacillati; Bacillota; Bacilli; Caryophanales; Gemellaceae. The record is from RNAcentral.